Molecule: long non-coding RNA, 307 nt
Organism: Catharus ustulatus (Swainson's thrush)
Lineage: Eukaryota; Metazoa; Chordata; Aves; Passeriformes; Turdidae
Exons: 3
Source: RefSeq, a predicted model, not a curated record
CGUGGGGCUGCUGCUGUGGCACUGCACGGAUCUGCGCUGGACACCCCGGCCGCAGGACACGGAGCACUGCGGGAAGGGACACGAGAGAACUUGAAUACAGCAAGAAUGGGUGUUUUGUACCUAAAUUUGGAAGACAGAAGACUGAAACCAGGACAUGUUCAUCCUUAAGAUUUAUGCAUUUUGAAAACAACUCAGAAGGUGGCAAGAAGGCAGAGCCUGGAGAAUCAAAGCAAAAAGCAAACCAGCAGGUAUGUUAGCUGCAAGCUUUGUAGUGAAGCAACUAAUUUCAACCUCCCUCUGCAGGUUC